CGUAUGGUGAGGGAAUUCGGCAAAUUAGUCCUGUAGCUUAGGUAUAAGGGAUGCCUGCACACUUCAUGAGGAAUGGGGUGAGCAGGUUGCAAUGACAAGGGGGUUUCGACUGUUUAAUAAAAACACAGGCGACUGCUAGUCCGAAAGGAUUUGUAUAGUCGCUGAAUCCUGGCCGGUGCGGGUACCUAAAACUUGGGUUCAACCGAGCUAAGGGCCCGUUAACGCCGGGAGUAACUCUGACUCUCUUAAGGUAGCCAAAUGCCUUGUCGGGUAAGUUCCGACGCGCAUGAAUGGAACAACGAGAGCCCCACUGUCCCCGCCUACAACCCGGUGAAGCCACAUAAGGUGGACGAACAGUCCAUCGCCUUCCAUUGGGGAGAGAAGACCCCGUGGAGUUUUACUGCAGCUUGUGCUUGUGGUAUAGUAAGAAUUGCACAGGGUAUCUGGGAGCUAUGCUCAACAUUCCCCGGGAUGUUGAUGAAGCAACGAUGUAACACCAGACUCUUUUUGCAGUACCACUUAUCCAGUGAAGACCGGAGACACGUGCAGGUGGGCAGUUCGGCUGGGGCGGCACCCCUUUGAAAAGAUAUCAAAGGGGCCCAAAGUUGAGUUCAAACGGGGCAGAAAUCCGUUGAAGAGGGCAAAGCCAAAAACUCGACUGAAUGGAUUUCCAAACGCACGGAAUUCAUAGACGAAAGUCUGGCUUAGCGAUCCUUCGUGUGCCCACUAUUGGGGCCCGGAGGUGACAGAAAAAUUACCCCAGGGAUAACAGGCUCGUCGCGGGCGAGAGCUCCUAUCGACCCCGCGGUUUGGUACCUCGAUGUCGGCUUUUCCUAUCCUGGUCCUGCAGCAGGGGCCAAGGGUGAGGCUGCUCGCCUAUUAAAAGGGAACAUGAGCUGGGUUUAGACCGUCGUGAGACAGGUCGGUCUCUGCCUAAUGGAAGCGUGAAUAACUGAGGGGAAGUUGCUCCUAGUACGAGAGGAACAGAGCAGCGUGGCCACUGGUUUACCGGUUGUCUGAUAAGGCAGGCCGGGCAGCUAAGCCGUUUGGGCUAAGUGCUGAAAGCAUCUAAGCACGAAUCCUAUCCCGAGACAAGUUAUUCUUUCGUAAGAUGAAGGUCGGCAGCAGAAGACUGCGUUGAUAGGAAGGUGGUGUAGAUCACAAGCUUCGGCGAGUGAUGAGCCAGCCUUUACUAAUAGACCAACAUAACGGU
Molecule: ribosomal RNA, 1213 nt
Filed under: marine metagenome
Description: bacterial LSU rRNA
Rfam family: Archaeal large subunit ribosomal RNA
Source: RNAcentral